GUUUAACAAAAACAUCUUUUCUUGUUAGUUUCUGAAGUAUGGCCUGCCCGCUGACGUAUAUUAAGUUGAAGGGCCGCGGUAUUUUGACCGUGCAAAGGUAGCAUAGUCAUUAGUUCUUUAAUUGUGAUCUGGUAUGAAUGGCUUGACGAGACAUGGGCUGUCUUAAAGAUGUGGAAUUUGUUGUUGAAUUUUGAGUUUGAGUUAAAAUUCUUAGAUGUUUUUAUGGGACGAGAAGACCCUAUAGAGUUUGACAUUUGAUUGCGUAUAUCUUGUUGUUUGUUUUAAAUUUUUGCGUGUCUCUUGUUUUGUUGGGGUGAUGGGAGGAAUUUAUUUAACUCCUCUUUUUGUGUAGUAUAUUGAUGUAUAUGUAUGUUGAU
RNAcentral lists this ribosomal RNA (377 nucleotides) under Odontotermes obesus. RNAcentral's name for it is "partial large subunit ribosomal RNA". Lineage: Eukaryota; Metazoa; Arthropoda; Insecta; Blattodea; Termitidae. The record is from RNAcentral.